UAAGGAAUAUUGGUCAAUGGACGCAAGUCUGAACCAGCCAUGCCGCGUGGAGGAUGAAGGCCCUCUGGGUUGUAAACUUCUUUUACAGGGGACGAAACACUCUUAUUCUUAGGAGCUUGACGGUACCCUGGGAAUAAGCACCGGCUAACUCCGUGCCAGCAGCCGCGGUAAUACGGAGGGUGCAAGCGUUAUCCGGAUUCACUGGGUUUAAAGGGUGCGUAGGCGGGCUUGUAAGUCCGUGGUGAAAUCUCUGAGCUUAACUCGGAAACUGCCAUGGAUACUAUGGGUCUUGAAUACUCGGGAGGUGAGCGGAAUAUGUCAUGUAGCGGUGAAAUGCUUAGAUAUGACAUAGAACACCAAUUGCGAAGGCAGCUUGCUACAGAGUUAUUGACGCUGAGGCACGAAAGCGUGGGGAUCAAACAGGAUUAGAUACCCUGGUAGUCCACGCCCUAAACUAUGGAUACUCGACGUUGGCGAUAUGACUGUCAGCGUCUGAGCGAAAGCAUUAAGUAUCCCACCUGGGAAGUACGACCGCAAGGUUGAAACUUAAAUGAAUUGACGGGGUCAUAG
Molecule: ribosomal RNA, 570 nt
Filed under: uncultured bacterium
Lineage: Bacteria
Description: partial 16S ribosomal RNA
Rfam family: Bacterial small subunit ribosomal RNA
Source: RNAcentral